UACGAGGGGGGCAAGCGUUGUUCGGAAUUAUUGGGCGUAAAGGGUGCGUAGGUGGUUCGGCAAGUCUUGUGUGAAAUCUUCAGGCUCAACCUGAAGUCUGCACAAGAAACUGCCGGGCUUGAGUAUGGGAGAGGUGAGUGGAAUUUCCGGUGUAGCGGUGAAAUGCGUAGAUAUCGGAAGGAACACCUGUGGCGAAAGCGGCUCACUGGACCAUUACUGACACCGAGGCACGAAAGCUAGGGGGAGCAAACAGGAUUAGAUACCCUGGUGGUCCUAGCCCUAAACGAUGAUCGCUUGGUGUGGCGGGUAUCCAACCCUGCCGUGCCGAAGCUAACGCGUUAAGCGAUCCGCCUGGGGAGUACGGUCGCAAGGCUGAAACUC
Molecule: ribosomal RNA, 381 nt
Filed under: uncultured bacterium
Lineage: Bacteria
Description: bacterial SSU rRNA
Rfam family: Bacterial small subunit ribosomal RNA
Source: RNAcentral